UACAGAGGUGGCAAGCGUUGUUCGGAAUUACUGGGCGUAAAGCGCACGUAGGCGGCUUUCUAAGUCGGGGGUGAAAUCCUGGAGCUCAACUCCAGAACUGCCUUCGAUACUGGGGAUCUCGAGUCCGGGAGAGGUGAGUGGAACUCCGAGUGUAGAGGUGAAAUUCGUAGAUAUUCGGAAGAACACCAGUGGCGAAGGCGGCUCACUGGCCCGGUACUGACGCUGAGGUGCGAAAGCGUGGGGAGCAAACAGG
RNAcentral lists this ribosomal RNA (253 nucleotides) under uncultured bacterium. RNAcentral's name for it is "partial 16S ribosomal RNA". It matches the Rfam family "Bacterial small subunit ribosomal RNA", at positions 524 to 776 of the family's 1533-position model. The record is from RNAcentral.